RNAcentral lists this ribosomal RNA (275 nucleotides) under uncultured bacterium. RNAcentral's name for it is "partial 16S ribosomal RNA". It matches the Rfam family "Bacterial small subunit ribosomal RNA", at positions 338 to 605 of the family's 1533-position model. The record is from RNAcentral.
CCUACGGGGGGCUGCAGUGGGGAAUUUUGGACAAUGGGCGAAAGCCUGAUCCAGCCAUGCCGCGUGAGUGAAGAAGGCCUUCGGGUUGUAAAGCUCUUUUGUCCGGGAGGAAAUCCUGGCCUCUAAUACAGGUCGGGGAUGACAGUACUGGAAGAAUAAGCACCGGCUAACUACGUGCCAGCAGCCGCGGUAAUACGUAGGGUGCAAGCGUUAAUCGGAAUUACUGGGCGUAAAGCGUGCGCAGGCGGUUUUGUAAGCCAGAUGUGAAAUCCCCG